AAUUCUGCUUUUUUAAAAGCAACAAACAAAUAUUUGAAGAAUAUC
This is a non-coding RNA of Lepisosteus oculatus (spotted gar), 45 nucleotides long. NCBI's taxonomy places the organism in Eukaryota, Metazoa, Chordata, Actinopteri, Semionotiformes, Lepisosteidae. The record is from Rfam.